Molecule: ribosomal RNA, 570 nt
Filed under: uncultured bacterium
Lineage: Bacteria
Description: bacterial SSU rRNA
Rfam family: Bacterial small subunit ribosomal RNA
Source: RNAcentral
GGCGUGCCUAACACAUGCAAGUCGAACGAGAAAGUGGAGCAAUCCAUGAGUAAAGUGGCGACCGGGUGAGUAACACGUGACUAACCUACCUCCGAGUGGGGAAUAACUCCGGGAAACCGGGGCUAAUACCGCAUAACAUCGCAAGAUCAAAGCAGCAAUGCGCUUGGAGAGGGGGUCGCGGCUGAUUAGCUCGUUGGCGGGGUAACGGCCCACCAAGGCGAAGAUCGGUAUCCGGCCUGAGAGGGCGCACGGACACACUGGAACUGAAACACGGUCCAGACUCCUACGGGAGGCAGCAGUGGGGAAUUUUGCGCAAUGGGGGAAACCCUGACGCAGCAACGCCGCGUGGAGGAUGAAGCCCUUUGGGGCGUAAACUCCUUUCGACUCGGACGAUAAUGACGGUACGAGUGGAAGAAGCACCGGCUAACUCUGUGCCAGCAGCCGCGGUAAUACAGAGGGUGCGAGCGUNGUUCGGAAUUAUUGGGCGUAAAGGGCGCGUAGGCGGUGCGGUAAGUCACCUGUGAAAUCUCCCGGCUUAACUGGGAGCCUGCAGGCGAAACUACCGUGCUG